CCUACGGGCGGCAGCAGUGAGGAAUAUUGGUCAAUGGGCGUAAGCCUGAACCAGCCAAGUCGCGUGAGGGAUGAAGGUUCUAUGGAUCGUAAACCUCUUUUAUAAGGGAAUAAAGUGCGGGACGUGUCCCGUUUUGUAUGUACCUUAUGAAUAAGGAUCGGCUAACUCCGUGCCAGCAGCCGCGGUAAUACGGAGGAUCCGAGCGUUAUCCGGAUUUCUUGGGUUUAAAGGGUGCGUAGGCGGCCUUUUAAGUCAGCGGUUAAAGUCUGUGGCUCAACCAUAGAAUUGCCGUUGAAACUGGGGGGCUUGAGUAUGUUUGAGGCAGGCGGAAUGCGUGGUGUAGCGGUGAAAUGCUUAGAUAUCACGCAGAACCCCGAUUGCGAAGGCAGCCUGCCAAGCCAUGACUGACGCUGAUGCACGAAAGCGUGGGGAUCAAACAGGAUUAGAUACCCUUGUAGUC
RNAcentral lists this ribosomal RNA (460 nucleotides) under uncultured bacterium. RNAcentral describes it as "partial 16S ribosomal RNA". It matches the Rfam family "Bacterial small subunit ribosomal RNA", at positions 338 to 795 of the family's 1533-position model. The record is from RNAcentral.